This 2765-nucleotide long non-coding RNA is filed under the name Salmo salar (Atlantic salmon). RNAcentral's name for it is "lncRNA (ENSSSAG00000082761.1)". The record is from RNAcentral. Lineage: Eukaryota; Metazoa; Chordata; Actinopteri; Salmoniformes; Salmonidae.
CAUGCAUGCUCUCAUAGGCACAUACACUCACCCGCACACACACACACACACCUGCUUCAGCGAUAGUUGGUAUAUCAGAGCCCUUUUGUAGAUGUAUCGAAACAGGACUAAAUGAGAAGAAAGCGUCUGACCUAUUUGCAAGGUAAAUGUAGCCUAGUUAUAGGGAACCAUGAAAACCAGCUCUGCCACCGACACAGAUGAAAGACUCUAUUGUUCCUCCUCUAGAUGAAGAGACAUUUUUUCAUUUUUUUCAUUGUGAAACCCUUGUUCCAUGAGCCUUUUAUUUUAACAAAAGACAAACAGUGUCUGAUUCUUAUUCAGGUCUGUCUCUCACUCUGCGGUGCUGGGUAAAAACCCUGUCACUUGCUGAAUAUGUGACGGGCUUUGAAGUAAUCAGUGUCGAGGCUGGUAGCGUUGAACAAGGAGACUGUGGGAGUGGUCAGCUUUCUGGUGAUCUACCCCCUCUACCUGCCACUCUUUAUUCUCUUCCGGAUGAGCCAUAGCAAGUGUGACAGUAGAGCAGGUGUCCUCCCAGGUGGAUUAAGAGUCAGGGGAGAUCGAUUACUUCCUGGAUAAAUCCAUGGCAGGAAGCUCCUUCCUCAUCUACAAAGGGAUUCCUGGAGAGGUUUAAGCAGAGUUCAUGCAGAUAACUAACUUGCCUCUGCAAACAAAGCUCAUGGCACAACGGGACCAGUAUUCGGAUAACCUGAGGAAGGCAGUCCGCACCAAAGGAGGAGUUGCAUGAAUGAAGAUCGGCAACAUUACGGCAGCCACAGCUGAGAACUGCGACAUGGCUGAGUCUGAGAAGGAGAUAGCGUAGACUGUCAUGGGGAUUUACGUCAUCCGAGGAAGAUCCAGAUGACGUCAGAAUUGUGAUUGAGGGUGUGAGGUUCUCAUCGACCUGGGAAGCGGAGCCUUAGGAUGUGCCAUGUUGUUUGGUUGAUCUAUGCACUCAACCUGAGCUACACACAGCACCUCAAAUGCACUUUGAUGUGUUCCAGAAGAUUCUAAUUAACUUGGAUGGAAACAAGCUUUCACCAAACAUCCAACCACUCAAGACCAACAUUUUUCAGUGAUCAACUAAAAGGAGAAAGUGACAGUUUGCAGUCAACUGACAGAGUUUGCCCUUGUCUUUAGGGCAAAUGUCUGAACAGAGAUGUUUAUUUAACCAUUAUUUCACUCUUUUAUGGCAGCUUUGGAGCAGUGGCUUCUUCCUUGCUGAGCAGCCUUUCAGGUUAGGUCGACAUAGGACUUGUUUUACUGUGGAUAUAGAUACUUUUGUACCUGUUUCCUCCAGCAUCUUUUUUUACCUUUAUUUAACUAGGCAAGUCAGUUAAGAACAAAUUGUUAUUUUCAAUGAUGGCCUAGGAACAGUGGGUUAACUGCCUUGUUCAGUGGCAGAACGACAGAUUUGUACCUUGUCAGCUCGGUGAUUCGAUCUUGCCACCUUUCAACUACUAGUCAAACGCUUGAACCACUAGGCUAUGCUGCCACCCCAAGGUCCUUCGCUGUUGUUCUGGGAUUGAUUUCCACUUUUCACACCAAAGUGCCUUCAUCUCUAGGAGACAGAACAUGUCUCCUUCCUGAGCGGUAUGACGGCUGCGUGGUCCCAUGGUGUUUAUACUUGCAUACUAUUGUUUGUACAGAUGAACGUGGUACCUUCAGGCGUUUAGAAAUUCCUCCCAAGGAUGAACCAGACUUGUGGAGGUCUACAAUUAUUUUUCUGAGGUCUUGGCUGAUUUCUUUUGAUUUUCCCAUGAUGUCAAGCAAAGAGGCACUGAGUUUGAAGGUAGGCCUUGAAAUACAUCCACAGGUUCACCUCCAAUUGACUCAAAUUAUAUCAAUUAGCCUAUCAGAAGCUUCUAAAGCCAUGACAUUGUUUUCUGGAAUUUUCCAAGCUGUUUAGAGGCACAGUCAACUUAGUGUAUGUAAACUUCUGACCCAUUGGAAUUGUGAUACAUUGAAUUAUAAGUGAAAUAAUCUGUCUGUAAACAAUUGUUGGAAAAAUGACUUGUGUCAUGCACAUAGUAGAUGUCCUAACCGACUUGCCAAAACUAUAAUUUGUUAACAAGAAAAUUGUGGAGUGGGUGAAAAAAUGAGUUUUAAUGACUCCAACCUAAGUGUAUGUAAACUUCCGACUUCAACUGUAGGUAAGGAUAAAGUGACUAGAUAGUGGGAUAGAUAAUAAACAGUAACAGCAGCGUAUGUUAAGAGUCAAAAGAGAUUAGUGCAAAAAGGGUCAAUGCAGAUGUUUCGGGUAGCUAUUGGUUAACUAUUUAACUUACUAUUUAGCAGUCAUAGCUUGGGGGUAGAAGCUGUUCAGGGACCUGUUGAUUGCAGACUUGGUGCAUCGGUACAGCUAGCCGUGCGGUAGCAGAGGGAACAGCCUAUGACAUUGGUGGCUGGAGAAUUAGACAAUCUUUAGGGCCUUCCUCUGACACCGCCUGGAAUAGUCUUGGAUGGCAGGGAGCUCGGCCAUAAUUAUUUUAUGUUCAUUACAGCUCAUUCAGAAGAACCAGUUGAUAUUCUAUUUAGAUUUUGUUGUUUUACAAUUUCAGAACACCAUUGUGUCUUGGCACAGUGCAAUCUUCAAGUUUGUUAUUUGGUUUACUUGAUAUACUUUCUGUCUUAAAGGUUGGUAAUUGAGAAAAAACACUGUCUUUUAAACAUUGCACAGCUUUGUUCACUUGUAAAGUAUUUCAUGUACAGUGGCUUGCGAAAGUAUUCACCCCCUUGGCAUUUUUCCUAUUUUGUUGCCUUACAAC